This 232-nucleotide ribosomal RNA is filed under the name uncultured bacterium. RNAcentral's name for it is "partial 16S ribosomal RNA". It matches the Rfam family "Bacterial small subunit ribosomal RNA", at positions 103 to 334 of the family's 1533-position model. The record is from RNAcentral.
CGGGUGAGUAACGCGUGAGGAACCUGCCUCAAAGAGGGGACAACAGUUGGAAACGACUGCUAAUACCGCAUAAGCCCACAGCUCGGCAUCGAGCAGAGGGAAAAGGAGCAAUCCGCUUUGAGAUGGCCUCGCGUCCGAUUAGCUAGUUGGUGAGGUAACGGCCCACCAAGGCGACGAUCGGUAGCCGGACUGAGAGGUUGAACGGCCACAUUGGGACUGAGACACGGCCCAG